CAACCGGCCCUUUUCAGGGCCACCAUUUCAUUCUGAAAAGACUGUU
Non-coding RNA from Anopheles stephensi (Asian malaria mosquito), 46 nucleotides. The record is from Rfam. NCBI's taxonomy places the organism in Eukaryota, Metazoa, Arthropoda, Insecta, Diptera, Culicidae.